AACGAACGCUGGCGGCAGGCUUAACACAUGCAAGUCGAGCGCGGUCUUUCGGGACUGAGCGGCGGACGGGUGAGUAACGCGUGGGAACGUGCCCUUCUCUCUGGAAUAGCCCUGGGAAACUGGGAGUAAUGCCGGAUACGCCGGGCCAUGGCGACAUGGUUUGGGAAAGAUUUAUCGGGGAAGGAUCGGCCCGCGUCGGAUUAGGUAGUUGGUGGGGUAACGGCCUACCAAGCCGACGAUCCGUAGCUGGUUUGAGAGGAUGACCAGCCACACUGGGACUGAGACACGGCCCAGACUCCUACGGGAGGCAGCAGUGGGGAAUCUUGGACAAUGGGGGCAACCCUGAUCCAGCCAUGCCGCGUGAGCGAUGAAGGCCUUAGGGUUGUAAAGCUCUUUCAGCGGGGAAGAUAAUGACGGUACCCGCAGAAGAAGCCCCGGCUAACUCCGUG
Molecule: ribosomal RNA, 449 nt
Filed under: uncultured organism
Description: bacterial SSU rRNA
Rfam family: Bacterial small subunit ribosomal RNA
Source: RNAcentral